RNAcentral lists this microRNA precursor (145 nucleotides) under Gossypium arboreum. RNAcentral describes it as "MIR7502 microRNA precursor family". It matches the Rfam family "MIR7502 microRNA precursor family". The record is from Rfam by way of RNAcentral. Lineage: Eukaryota; Viridiplantae; Streptophyta; Magnoliopsida; Malvales; Malvaceae.
UUUUAAAAAUUUCAUCUGUUUCUACUGUUAAAAACUGGCAUGACUGAUAGAAUAACCAAACAGUUACAUGUGGCGUGCCACAUGUACCUCAUUCUGACGUAUAAGGACCAGUUUUUAAUAGUAGAAAUACAUGGAAUAUGUAAAA